AAUCAACGCUGGCGGCGUGCCUAACACAUGCAAGUCGAGCGGGAAAGGGGGCUUCGGCCCCUGAGUAUAGCGGCGGACGGGUGAGUAACACGUGGGUAAUUUGCCCUUGGGUGUGGAAUAACUCAGGGAAACUUGAGCUAAUACCGCAUGACAUCCCCUUCACACACGAGUCGGGGAUCAAAGCCGGGGACCCUUCGGGGCCUGGCGCCUGAGGAGAAGCCCGCGCCCGAUUAGCUAGNGGUGAGGUAAUGGCUCACCAAGGCUUCGAUCGGUAGCCGGCCUGAGAGGGCGGACGGCCACACUGGGACUGAGACACGGCCCAGACUCCUACGGGAGGCAGCAGUGGGGAAUUUUUGUCAAUGGGGGAAACCCUGAACAAGCAACGCCGCGUGGAGGACGACG
This 402-nucleotide ribosomal RNA is filed under the name uncultured bacterium. Its description in RNAcentral is "bacterial SSU rRNA". It matches the Rfam family "Bacterial small subunit ribosomal RNA", at positions 29 to 413 of the family's 1533-position model. The record is from RNAcentral.